GAGAUCAUACUUCACAGAAUCAUUUCUGUAGUAUGUAUUUCCUCGCAUUCAGCGAAAAUGCAACGGAGUGCAUCCGCGAUGAUGAGGCUAGGCGUCUAUCCUGGAGCAGGAAGCUGUCUGGUUAGGGGCAAACACCCUUAUCCAGACUUGAUGACUGCGAAAGGGACCUUGUGGGGUCCUUGGAAGGGAUGGAGGCGAGCUGAGCGGU
This 208-nucleotide small nucleolar RNA is filed under the name Thelazia callipaeda (thelaziosis nematode). RNAcentral's name for it is "Small nucleolar RNA U3". It matches the Rfam family "Small nucleolar RNA U3". Rfam says of the family: Small nucleolar RNAs (snoRNAs) are involved in the processing and modification of rRNA in the nucleolus. There are two main classes of snoRNAs: the box C/D class, and the box H/ACA class. The record is from Rfam by way of RNAcentral. Lineage: Eukaryota; Metazoa; Nematoda; Chromadorea; Rhabditida; Thelaziidae.